This is a long non-coding RNA of Taeniopygia guttata (zebra finch), 656 nucleotides long. RefSeq lists it as uncharacterized. The record is from RefSeq and is a predicted model, not a curated record. Lineage: Eukaryota; Metazoa; Chordata; Aves; Passeriformes; Estrildidae.
CUAUCUUUAGCCCAUGAGAGCACCCUUCAAUUGUUCUGCACUUCAAACAAUAGCCCCACGUGGAGCAGAGAAGGAUUGCUGGCUUUACCACAGCGUUUUGCACCGAAAUACAGCCUUAGAGACACCAGAUUUCUGUCAGCCCUGGCUGAAGCUGGUGCUUAUACUACAGGGAAGCCAAGGUUCCAGAGUGUCUUGGUUUUGGUUUUUUUUGUAUGAUGGGCCAGCAAGAGGUUUGGCUCCCCGAGGAGAUGUUUGAACUCUCUUCCAUGAAAAUAGCCCUAUUGUUCUGUCUUUAGGAUCUGAUGCUGGGCAUCACAUCAUCUCCUCCUGCCGUGCCUUUGGAGCUGCUCUAUUGCAAGCACUGGUUCCUGCACUGAUGCCCAAAUAUCCUGAGGGUACCAGGGAAGCCGUUCUGGGGUCAGGCUCGGCUGAGGAGGAGAGCAGGGUCAUGGCACAACUAUUCAUUCCUGAUGUUGGCUCGAGUUUCAAUUGUCUGAGCGCAGGGCAGCCUUUGAAAGGGGAUGCGACAGCCCAAAGCCACAAAGCCCAUCUUUGAAGGCUCUUUAACAGGGAGAGGAGAGGUUUACAAAUAUAAAAUGCUUUUCUUUAAACUUUGCCGGACUCUAUUUUUAGCAAAUAAAGAUAAUAGCCCAGUU